AGUGAACGCUGGCGGUAGGCCUAACACAUGCAAGUCGAACGGCAGCACAGUAAGAGCUUGCUCUUACGGGUGGCGAGUGGCGGACGGGUGAGGAAUACAUCGGAAUCUACUUUUUCGUGGGGGAUAACGUAGGGAAACUUACGCUAAUACCGCAUACGACCUACGGGUGAAAGCAGGGGAUCUUCGGACCUUGCGCGAUUGAAUGAGCCGAUGUCGGAUUAGCUGGUUGGCGGGGUAAAGGCCCACCAAGGCGACGAUCCGUAGCUGGUCUGAGAGGAUGAUCAGCCACACUGGACCUGAGACACGGUCCAGACUCCUACGGGAGGCAGCAGUGGGGAAUAUUGGACAAUGGGCGCAAGCCUGAUCCAGCCAUACCGCGUGGGUGAAGAAGGCCUUCGGGUUGUAAAGCCCUUUUGUUGGGAAAGAAAAGCAGCAGGUUAAUACCCCGCUGUCCUGACGGUACCCAAAGAAUAAGCACCGGCUAACUUCGUG
RNAcentral lists this ribosomal RNA (492 nucleotides) under uncultured bacterium. Its description in RNAcentral is "partial 16S ribosomal RNA". It matches the Rfam family "Bacterial small subunit ribosomal RNA", at positions 29 to 507 of the family's 1533-position model. The record is from RNAcentral.